GAUGAACGCUAGCUACAGGCUUAACACAUGCAAGUCGAGGGGAAACGGCAUUGAGUGCUUGCACUCUUUGGACGUCGACCGGCGCACGGGUGAGUAACGCGUAUCCAACCUUCCCAUGACUAAGGGAUAACCUGCCGAAAGGCAGACUAAUACCUUAUGGUCUUCACUGACGGCAUCAGAUGUGAAGUAAAGAUUUAUCGGUUAUGGAUGGGGAUGCGUCUGAUUAGUUAGUUGGUGGGGUAAAGGCCUACCAAGGCGACGAUGCAUAGCCGACCUGAGAGGGUGAUCGGCCACACUGGGACUGAGACACGGCCCAGACUCCUACGGGAGGCAGCAGUAGGGAAUCUUCCGCAAUGGGCGAAAGCCUGACGGAGCAACGCCGCGUGAGUGAAGAAGGAUUUCGGUUCGUAAAGCUCUGUUGUUAGGGAAGAAUGAUUGUAUAGUAACUAUAUACAGUAGAGACGGUACCUAACCAGAAAGCCACGGCUAACUACGUGCCAGCAGCCGCGGUAAUACGUAGGUGGCAAGCGUUGUCCGGAAUUAUUGGGCGUAAAGCGCGCGCAGGUGGUUUAAUAAGUCUGAUGUGAAAGCCCACGGCUCAACCGUGGAGGGUCAUUGGAAACUGUUAAACUUGAGUGCAGGAGAGAAAAGUGGAAUUCCUAGUGUAGCGGUGAAAUGCGUAGAGAUUAGGAGGAACACCAGUGGCGAAGGCGGCUUUUUGGCCUGUAACUGACACUGAGGCGCGAAAGCGUGGGGAGCAAACAGG
RNAcentral lists this ribosomal RNA (766 nucleotides) under uncultured Prevotella sp. Its description in RNAcentral is "bacterial SSU rRNA". It matches the Rfam family "Bacterial small subunit ribosomal RNA", at positions 28 to 776 of the family's 1533-position model. The record is from RNAcentral. Lineage: Bacteria; Pseudomonadati; Bacteroidota; Bacteroidia; Bacteroidales; Prevotellaceae.